Homo sapiens (human) is the source of this 848-nucleotide long non-coding RNA. Ensembl annotates it as long intergenic non-protein coding RNA 1828. Lineage: Eukaryota; Metazoa; Chordata; Mammalia; Primates; Hominidae. The record is from Ensembl.
CGGCCUUUGGUGCAGCUGUAAGUCGGAUGGAAUCCACCUUCCUGACGUCAGACCCACCCACUGGAACACUGCUCCUCUGACUGGGGCUUCCCUGAAUGGAAACUACAUGUCAUACUGCAAAAGACAGGGUCUCACUAUGUUGCCCAGGCUGGUCUCAAAUUCCUUCUCAAGUGAUCCUCCCACCUCAACCUCCCAAAGUGCUGGGAUUGCAGGCAUGAGCCACUGCACCCAGCAGAAAUUCUUAACGAGGCAAGGCCAACAGAGGCCAUUCAUUCAACAUCACGGCACCAUAGUGGCCUCUUUUUAAGACUCCUCAGCUGUCAGACCUGCUACAAAGAAUGAGUUUUAAUUCUGGGGAUGUUAUUAAACUCCUUGCUUAACUGGCAGAAAAAUGGAACUGCUAGCUGGGUGACAGUAGAGCUGCUGUCGGAUUGAAUGACACCUGUCAGAGUAUGAUGAAUGACCCUGUCUUCCCCACAAUCCCCUGUUCUGUCACUCAGGUGAGGCCCAUUAAUCUUCAUCCUGGGCCUGUCAGGCUAGGCACCCAUGACGACAAAAUGUCUUGAAGCAUUUACCCCCAAGAUGCACGGAACAAUACGAUCUUCUCAUUGUCAGAGCCACGUGGAAUUAGCAUAAUUUAUUAUGACUUCCAUCCCCCUCACUCUCUACCUCUAUCACCACCCCCAAAAAAGCAAGUGGGGGCUAGAUGGGAUUAGACAGAUGGAGUGUAGGACCAGACUGCCAACUACCAAACCCCCUGCAGUGCCUGAUGAUUGGGGGGAGCAUCUCUACAAACCAAUCAAAAAGCUGGCAGUUCAAUUACAGAGUAAUAAAGGGACAUUCAUCAU